ACGCCCAAGCCACUAGCUGCCACACUCCCACUGGACUCAUGUGACCCAGGGGUAAGCGUCACAGCAGGCAGCCUUCCUGCCCUCUUCCUUCUCUGCAGGGGUGGAGGCGACCCGUGCUGAUUGCACCACACUAGCUAUCACACAGGGCACCCCCAGUUCCACCAGCAGACUGGCAGGGAAGUAGGUGGAUUCGUGCCUGCAACUUCAGCCCUCGGGCUACCCCUCGCUUCCCUCUGCCCCAACCUGGCAGCCACCCAGGCCAGUGCACGUCCAGUCUAGACUGGAAAAUGGGUGCUUGGCAUCUCAGGGCCUGUGGUACAGAACUGGGGAAGGAGGCCUGCUGUUCUUCGCCGCCAAACACAUCGUCACCUCCAGUAAAGAUCUGAACGGAUGUCCUUACCUUCCGCUUUCAGCUGCUUUCAGCUGCUGUGAAGCCCAGGCCGAGGUAGCAGAAGAGGAUCCCGCAGGCCACUGCCUGUCCUCCGGCGGCAGCUUAUAGCAGCGUUUAGUUCGCAGCUGCCCACGCCCCCGCGCCCCUAUAUCCCGCGCUGCCCGAGGUAAGGUCGGGGGAAGCCUGGCUACCACCUCCUCCUCCGUCUGCGCCUACGGGUCCCGGGGCGCCCUGGGGGCACCGCUCCCUGCUGGGACCCCUUCCGGUCCAGGAACGUCUCCUGCACCGCGCGAACCACCUGUCCCUCCUGCACUCCAGGCAACCAGUUUGCUUCCUGCACUCCUGGACGCCCCUCUCCUUCAGGCCCCCACGGCCCCACCAGCCGGGCCCUACCCAAGACCUCCGGGCGCCGCGCCGGGGGCUCCCCCAAGACCACUGCCUCGCGCCCCAGUACUAGGCAGGCAGAUGGUCUCGGGUCCAUACGAAGAGGGUUCUUUCUCUGGUGUUGGCCAGCACUGUGCCCCUAGGCCACAGCCAAAGGACAGCAUGGCCACCAGGAAGAGGGUGAGUUCCAGACUCAUGCACAGGGCCAAUCUGGGUGGCUUUGGAUGGGGUCCUUGUUCUGUGAGGAACUUUGCUGUGCCUCAGCCAGGGACUUCCUGUUGGAGUUUGAAUCUGGUUGUCCCCCCAAGCCCUCUGUCCUCAGAGGGAGGGUUUUGGAAGGUGACUGUAUUAAGCGGGCUUACAGCCCACUUGCUAGUAGGAGGCAGUGGCUGGGGCAGCCUGGAAGGGUGCACCUCCCUCCUAGUCCUCCCUUCUCUCUGCUUCCCGGUAGCCAGGACAGGAGCAGCUUUUCCUCCGCCAUGCUCCUGGCCCCUGCUGUCUUCUGCCUUGGAGCCAGCCAACUUCGGACUGAAGCCAUGAGCCAAAAUAAACCUUUCUACCUUUAACCUGUGGGGCUCUGGUGUUGUCUGAGCAAAGAGAAAGAAAGUUAGAACUCCAUCGUUUGGGGAGAAGCAAAC
RNAcentral lists this long non-coding RNA (1413 nucleotides) under Heterocephalus glaber (naked mole-rat). RNAcentral's name for it is "lncRNA (ENSHGLG00100040139.1)". The record is from RNAcentral. Lineage: Eukaryota; Metazoa; Chordata; Mammalia; Rodentia; Bathyergidae.